UACGUAGGGGGCAAGCGUUGUCCGGAUUUAUUGGGCGUAAAGCGCUCGCAGGUGGUUCGAUGCGUCGUGCGUGAAAGACCCCGGCUCAACUGGGGAGGGUCGUGCGAUACGGUCGAACUGGAGGCCAGUAGGGGGAUGCGGAAUUCCGGGUGUAGUGGUGGAAUGCGUAGAGAUCCGGAGGAACACCAGCGGCGAAGGCGGCAUCCUGGACUGGGCCUGACACUCAUGAGCGAAAGCGUGGGGAGCGAUCCGG
This 253-nucleotide ribosomal RNA is filed under the name uncultured bacterium. RNAcentral describes it as "partial 16S ribosomal RNA". It matches the Rfam family "Bacterial small subunit ribosomal RNA", at positions 524 to 776 of the family's 1533-position model. The record is from RNAcentral.